This 69-nucleotide transfer RNA is filed under the name Odorrana jingdongensis (odor frog). RNAcentral describes it as "tRNA-Gly". Lineage: Eukaryota; Metazoa; Chordata; Amphibia; Anura; Ranidae. The record is from RNAcentral.
AUUUCCUUAGUACAACUAGUACCGGUGAUUUCCAAUUAUCUAACCUUGGUGAAAACCCAAGAGGAAAUA